Molecule: long non-coding RNA, 1734 nt
Filed under: Carassius auratus (goldfish)
Lineage: Eukaryota; Metazoa; Chordata; Actinopteri; Cypriniformes; Cyprinidae
Description: lncRNA (ENSCARG00000007983.1)
Source: RNAcentral
GUGUAAUUCUGUCAUUUGAUAGAGAUAAUCAUCAUUUUCAUUCCUCUUGAUUUAUCAUGCCAUUUCUGUGUUAAUUUUGUUCAAUUAUUGAUUUAAAACUACAGUAAUGACACGUAUCCCAGAAUCCAUUCUGAAGAUGUCUUUGUCAGAUUAUUUUCUCCUUUUUCUUUAUGUUUGUGUACGUUUGAGUGUAUGAUGAUGAUGAAUGCUCGAUACGGUCUUCAGACGUUUAUAAGCAGAAAUACUGAUAGAUAUGAAUCUAAAACCAGCUCCUGAUGAUUUUAGGGUGCAAUGAGAGAAAAGAUCCCUCAGAAGUCAGUCUCUUCCUCUUCCUCUUCCUCCUCCGCUCUGAUUGGUCGGUGUCGUGUGCUGUCGUUCCUGCUGUUUGCUCCACUCUUCUUCUUUUUGUUGAUGGUCAGGCUGUUUCUUUGUCCUACAUGUUCUCUUCCGAGUGUUUGUUUGUGUUCUUCUGCAGAUCAGUGUUGUGUUUUCUCUCCUGUCAUCCAUCUGUGUUUCUGUCGACGCGUCAUCAGUUCAGUUUGACCUUUUAAUGAUGGACCAGAGGAAGUCCAACCAAACCACAGAUAUCUCUCAUAUUUAUUAUUGUGGAUUUACAUGUAUAUUCUUAUCAUAAUGUGUAGUAAAUGCACAGCAGCUGUGUAAUUUGUUCGUUUUGCAUGCUCCAUUAAAGUGAGUUGUAGUAAUGUGUAGUUGAAGUCACAGAAGCUCAGCUGAAAGUGUGUUUGUCCUCAACAUUUCUCUCACUUUUUCACCCGUCGUAGAGAUUGCCUUCUGUGUUGAAGAAGACAUGAAUUUGGCCCUAAUAAAUCAUCCAAUCUUUGCAUCCUAACUUGCUGUCUAUGUAGGGAGCAGCAGGAUCCCGCAGAUACUCUAAACUAAAGAAAGGUCAAGCACUUUCAGGUCGGCUUGUGAGAGGAUCAUGUCUGUGUGAUUUCCUGGAGGUUUUGAUGGUUGUGUUUAGCUGAGAGCUCCAAUCCUGUGACAUUCAGAAAGAUUCUCCAUCGUGUUCCAGACGUCUCUCUGUCAGAUCUCUCAGACUGAAGCCACAGCACUUUCUUCAUCUAAUCCUCAGUCCUCAGUGUACUAUGAGGAGACUUUUUAACUUUAACUUUAUUACAUGCAUCAAAUAUGAUAAUAACUCGAUCCACAAUCUACAUACUUUAUUCUACUUAAUGUUAAUUUCAACAUGAAUAAAUACAUUUUUUUAAAUCACAAACUGUGAACUAACAUAAAUAGAUACAUGUAACAUAACAUAAAUAACAUUGUUACAAAAUGUUAGCAACGAUUAAUAAUAAACGCUGUAAAAAAGUAAAUUGUGUAUUGUUAGUUCAUGAUAAGUAAUGCAUUAAUUAAUAUCAACACCUAUAAAGACACCAGUGUUAAUUAUUAAAAGUCAGAUUUGAUGUGUUUCAUCUUUAUUUUUAAAUCAAUGCAUUUUUACAUCUCUGAAUGUUGUAUUAGCUUUUAAUAAUUUAGUUUAAAGCACAUUUAAAUAGAACACAGUGCUGUACAGAAUCAAAAGACAAAUAAAAGCAGAAUAAUAAUAGGAACCAGCUGGUGUCAAGGUAAAUGAGUGACAGCAGCACACGUCUGCUGUGUGGAGUUUUAAGGGUGUAUUGAGCUCCACCCGUGGUGCUGGUGUCAGUGCUGUGUGCUGGUGGAGUCUGACAGCAGGCGUCUGAGGAUCAGCUCAUUUACACUCGCUGUGUUCUG